AUUGAACGCUGGCGGCAGGCCUAACACAUGCAAGUCGAGCGAGCGGCGGACGGGUUAGUAAUUUCUGGGAAACUGCCUGAUUGAGGGGGAUAACUACUGGAAACGGUCGCUAAUACCGCAUACCAUCAGAUGUGCCUCUAUGGGAUUAGCUAGUAGGUGGGGUAACGGCUCACCUAGGCGACGAUCCCUAGCUGGUCUGAGCGGAGGACCAGCCACACUGGAAAGGGGACAAGGGCCAGAGUACUACGGUAGGAAGCAGUGGGGAAUAUUGCACAAGGGGCGAAAGCAUGAUGCAGCAAUGCAGCGUGUGUGAAGAAGGCCUUCGGGUUGUAAAGCACUUUCAGCGGGGAGGCGUUAACCGCAGAAGAAGCACCGGGUAACUCCGUGCGAGCAGCCGCGGUAAUUC
Molecule: ribosomal RNA, 406 nt
Filed under: uncultured bacterium
Lineage: Bacteria
Description: partial 16S ribosomal RNA
Rfam family: Bacterial small subunit ribosomal RNA
Source: RNAcentral